RNAcentral lists this ribosomal RNA (484 nucleotides) under uncultured bacterium. RNAcentral's name for it is "partial 16S ribosomal RNA". It matches the Rfam family "Bacterial small subunit ribosomal RNA", at positions 30 to 507 of the family's 1533-position model. The record is from RNAcentral.
AUUGAACGCUGGCGGCAGGCCUAACACAUGCAAGUCGAACGGAUGAAGGGAGCUUGCUCCUGGAUUCAGCGGCGGACGGGUGAGUAAUGCCUAGGAAUCUGCCUGGUAGUGGGGGAUAACGUCCGGAAACGGGCGCUAAUACCGCAUACGUCCUGAGGGAGAAAGUGGGGGAUCUUCGGACCUCACGCUAUCAGAUGAGCCUAGGUCGGAUUAGCUAGUUGGUGGGGUAAAGGCCUACCAAGGCGACGAUCCGUAACUGGUCUGAGAGGAUGAUCAGUCACACUGGAACUGAGACACGGUCCAGGCUCCUACGGGAGGCAGCAGUGGGGAAUAUUGGACAAUGGGCGAAAGCCUGAUCCAGCCAUGCCGCGUGUGUGAAGAAGGUCUUCGGAUUGUAAAGCACUUUAUGUUGGGAGGAAGGGCAGUAAGUUAAUACCUUGCUGUUGUGACGUUACCAACAGAAUAAGCACCGGCUAACUUCGUG